This 316-nucleotide unclassified non-coding RNA is filed under the name Hevea brasiliensis (rubber tree). The record is from RNAcentral. Lineage: Eukaryota; Viridiplantae; Streptophyta; Magnoliopsida; Malpighiales; Euphorbiaceae.
AGUUUGACCAUUUGUUUGAGGGUGCAAAAUUGAAAAAAAUUUCAAUGUUGUGCCAAACAACUACCAAAGUGUCUUCCAAAAGUAACUAACAAACUUAAUAUCACUAUCAGACACUAUAGAAGAAGGCAAACCAUGCAAUUUGACAAUUUCCCUGAAGAACAAUGCAGCUGCAUGUGAAGCAUCAUGUGUCUUGUUACAUGAAAUGAAAUGCACCAUUUUAGAGAACCUAUCCACUACUAUUAAGAUGGAAUCAUGCCCUCGAGUUGUUUUAGAUAACCCAAGCACAAAAUUAAUACUCACAUCUUUCCAAGGGGUA